GGUGAAGCAGGCGAAUUAGGCGGCGGCGGAUCAGGCGAAGCAGACGGCGCAGCAGACAGCGGAGCAGGCGGAGCAGGCGAAGCAGGCGGCGUGCGGAGCAGGCGAAGCAGGCGGCGCGCGGAGUAGGCGGAGCAAGCGAAGCAGGCGGCGCGCGGAGUAGCUAGGCGGAGCAAGCGAAGCAGGCGGCGGAGGGAGAGCAGACGCGCGCAGGCAGCGCAGAGGAGGCGCGCGGCGUCGCGGCAGAGACGGGUGUGAAUUAGCAGACGCGGUUAAUUUUGUGUACUGUUAGGAUUAAUUAGGGA
This 302-nucleotide long non-coding RNA is filed under the name Salvia miltiorrhiza (redroot sage). Its description in RNAcentral is "long non-coding RNA (SMIL_LNC014352)". The record is from RNAcentral. Lineage: Eukaryota; Viridiplantae; Streptophyta; Magnoliopsida; Lamiales; Lamiaceae.